CAACGUAGUUUGACAGUGAGUUUCAGAAAUUUAUCUUCAAUUGUAUCUCCCUGCUUAAAUACAGAAAACACUGGCUAUCUAGGCUGAAUGGAAGACCGUGCACAUUCUCCUGGAAUGAACACCAGAUGAAAACGAUCAGAUUACCUUACAUGCACAGGCAGUGCUGAGGACCCAGGAGAAUUCUAGAAGGCACUGAACUCUAUGACCAGAUCUACGCAUAUAAAUCCACUUCUGGCAG
Molecule: long non-coding RNA, 238 nt
Filed under: Coturnix japonica (Japanese quail)
Lineage: Eukaryota; Metazoa; Chordata; Aves; Galliformes; Phasianidae
Description: lncRNA (ENSCJPG00005014914.1)
Source: RNAcentral